Molecule: transfer RNA, 70 nt
Filed under: Marmota monax (woodchuck)
Lineage: Eukaryota; Metazoa; Chordata; Mammalia; Rodentia; Sciuridae
Description: tRNA.Gly
Source: RNAcentral
GGCUGUGGCUCAGGGGUAGAGAGCUUGCCAACCAUGCACGAAGCCCUGGGUUUGACCCCCAGCACUGCCA